This is a non-coding RNA of Callithrix jacchus (white-tufted-ear marmoset), 6515 nucleotides long. Lineage: Eukaryota; Metazoa; Chordata; Mammalia; Primates; Cebidae. The record is from RefSeq and is a predicted model, not a curated record.
CUGGGGCUGAACCAGGCAAUCCCCGACACCCCUUCCAGUUAGAGGAAGAGAGAGCAGCCGGUGACACGCCGCGGGUCCUCCCUGCGAUGCUGGAAGGGUAGUGAAAUCAUCUGAGAUAAAAUGUAAGAAGGACUGAGCUUUCCACGGAUCCAGAGGCCACCAGGUGGAAGUUCCUAGAGAGCAGAGAUUGCACUCGGCUCACUGCAUCGGACCCGGCACCCAGCACCGUCCUGACAGCCAGUGGGCACUCAGUGAAUACCGAAUGAAUGGAUGUUGAGUGAAUGAUGACAACCUGACUCUCCAGACUGCGUGUGAGCACAGAGGAGGGACCGCUUUCCAAAUGCACUUCACUCUGAGAGGCCUCCGAUGCUCUGUCAUCAGUGCUCACUCCCUCCACGGACGAGGAGACCCCAGGGGCAAGUGAAAAUUACAUUCUGUACAGGACCAAGAAAGUGCCACCUUCCGUGGUAACAGGGCUGACAGUGGAGAUGACGCGCAGGAAGCGGGACGGUGGGGCCAACAGAUGUAGUUUCCGUGGAAUUUUUCAAAGUGAAAAGGCGGAUUGUUAACAUCAACCAAAGCCCUAAAAGUGAUUCUGGCAGCAAAUGAGCGCGUCUCUGAGAAGCAGGUGAAGAGCCCAGGACUCAGCUGGACACAUUGGCAGCUGCAGGCCUGAGAAGACCCCACCGGGCAGGAUGCCCCCGGCUGUCCCCCAGGGACCCCAGCUUUGAAGGCGUGUCCCCCAAAUUUCCUUGACUGGGAUCCUGGCAGGAAACAGAUGGCUCAUGAAAGGAGUCAUUGUGAGGACUGUCAGCAGAAGCAGGAACAGAGCAAGAAAACCAGCAAGGGGAUGAUGAGGCACCCGGGGGCUGGCAGCAGAGCGAAGCUGCUCCCACCUGAGGCUUCACCACGAGGGAGGAGAGCCCAGCCCAGCCCAGGCACAUUGCUGGCCACCACAGAUAAAUGUUCGCUCUGAAUUGCAGGGACCACCAUUUCCAAAUUAAAGUAGCCACUGUCUGAAAGAUGCAAGCCUGCGGCUUCCCGGAGUGAGAGGCAGCUGGAGAGAUGGUGUUGAGAUGCCGCAAAGAUCAGAAACGCUGGAACAUUUCAGCAGCUUUGGGGGACAGAGUAUCUGAGACCAGGACUGUGCUGGGGGAUGCAGAAGCUUUGGCUAGGGGGGUUCUGCACUUUCUUUUUUUUUUUGAGACGGAGUUUCACUCUUGUUACCCAGGCUGGAGUGCAAUGGCACGAUCUCGGCUCACCGCAACCUCCACUUCCUGAGUUCAAACAAUUCUCCUGCCUCAGCCUCCCAAGUAGCUGGGACUACAGGCACGCACCACCAUGCCCAGCUAUUUUUUUUUUUUUUUUUUUUUUUUUAGUAGAGACGAGGUUUCACCAUGUUGACCAGGCUGGUCUCAAUCUGUUGACCUUGUGAUCCACCCGCCUCAGCCUCCUAAAGUGCCGGGAUUACAGGCUUGAGCCACCGCGCCCAGCCCGCUUCUGCACUUUCAAUCCAGGUUACCGACUUUGCCGUUACCCUGAUGUGCGCUGACAUUGGGAGUACACUUAGUCAUGAGCAAUGUCCCAUCCCUUCUUUUUGUGAGGAGCUCUGUGAUCCUUGAGUCCACAGAUGCUUGUCCUUUUCCCCCCUGAGCUGUCACAGUAGUCUGGGUACAGGGUGGAUGCCCAGAGGCGCUGGGAAUGGGCUUGAAGAAGGGGGCAGCAGUGAGCUUCUGCAUGGAAAAGAGAUGCCAUUUCUGUUUAGGGAGCUCAUCUUUCUGGAGACCAGGAUGAAGCAGUGCCUUGGAUCUCCCCAGCCACUGGCCAGCAGACAGUGUGCGCCGCAGGGACCAGGACAGCUGGGGGCUGGGGAGUCGGGGAGAGCAAGGCUCCCGGUGCAGCAGGAGGGGCCCUCGAGCCCCAACCGGAGUCCCUGGCUCUCUCUCCUUCCUUCUCUCUGGGUUCAGGAGGUCCAACAACAGCUCUCUUUCAUAGCCAGCCCACUCCCCUAUACCGUUCAGUUCUCUUGUCUGAGUUUCAGUUUAACUCAGAUGAAAGACCCUCUGGCCACACCACCUCCAGAUUGAGCCAGAGGCUGUCUGGAGAGAGUGUGACAUUUGGUGGGAGCUGAGGAUUCAGGAAUGUUCAUCUCCCUUUCCCUAUAUCAUGUCAACAUGCAGGCUUCAAUAUUCUAAUGUUCUCCACAUUAUCUGAGCCUGUCCAGAUUAUCUGAUGGUGGGUGUGCGAGGCUGUGUUGGGCUGGUGCAUGGCAGCAGAAUGACGCCCCACGGAGGGGCUCUGCCACAGGCUUCAGAUUUUAAGAGAAUCAGUGAACAUAGUUGCAUUCUUUACAGCAUAGCGUUUUUGGGGCUGCUCAUUGUUUUGUUUUUGUUUUGAGACAGUGUCUCGCUCUGUCGCCCAGGCUGCAGUGCAGUGGCACCAUCUUUGCUCCCCGCAACCUCCAUCUCCAGGUUCAAGCAAUUCUCUUGCCUCAGCCACCCAUGUAGCUGAGACUGCAGGCACCCGCCACCACACCUGGCUACUUUUUGUGUUUUCAGUAGAGACCAAGUUUCACCGUGGUGGCCAGGCUGGUCUCCCAACUUCAAGUGAUUCACCCACCUCACCCUUCAAAAGUGCUGGGAUUACAGGUGUGAGCCACUGCACCCAGUCCUGUGCAGCACAAAGUUUUCAUGAGACUCAGUUCUUCCUGCCUGUUUAGGAGGUGCUUGUCUAAACCUCAGUCUUGAUGUGUCUGAGGGAAGAUGCUUCACUCUGCCGUGAAUGAACCGUGUCUGUGUAUGUGUGUGCGGUAGUGUGAGUGUGUGAUAUUGGUGCUGGGGAAUAGAGAGGGAUAACCCAGAGGAACUGUUAUAGUCCCGGGGAUGAGUUUUCAACGGCAUACUCAGAAAUGAGUCCUUGCUGUUUUUCCGUGUCCUCUUUAUUGUUUCAAGAUUCCUAUGAGGUUACUUUAUUACAGUUAUUUACUGUAGUAUUAAUUUUAAUUUCAAUAGAUUAAUUGGAUCCCAUUAGUCUAUUUUGGCUUUCCUUGCCAUUGCUUUUGAUGUUUUGGCAUGAAGUCUUUGCUCAUGCCUGUGUCCUGAGUGGUACUGCCUAGGUUCUCUUCUAGGGUUUUUAUGGUCUUAGGUCUUACAUUUAAGCCUUAAUCCAUCUUGAGUUAAUUUCUGUAUACUGUGUAAGGAAAGGAUCCAGUUUCAACUUUAUACAUAUGACUAGCCAGUUUUCCUAACACCAUUUAUUAAAUAGGUAAUUCACAUACCCACAGGAUUAUAAAUCAUUCUACCGUAAAGACACAUGCCCACGUAUGUUCACUGCGGCACUGUUCACAACAGAAAGACCUGGAGCCAACCCAAAUGCCCAGAAACAAUAGACUGGAUACAGAAACUGUGGCACAUACACACCAUGGAAUAUUGUACAGCCAUAAAGAAGGAUGAGUUCAUGUCCUUUGCAGGGACAUGGUUGAAGCUGGAAGCCAUCAUUCUCAGCAAACCAACACAUUAACGGAAAACCAAACACUGCAUGUUCUCACUCAUAAGUGGGAGUUGGACAAUGAGAACACAUGGACACAGGGAGGAAACAUCACACACUGGGGCCUGUCAGGGGAUGGGGCAGGGGGAGGGAGAGCAUUAGGAGAAAUCCCUAAUGUAGAUGACGGGUUGAUGGGUGCAGCAAACCACCAUGGCACACGUGCGCCUACGUCACAAACCUGCGCAUUCCGCACAUGUACCCCAGAACUUAAAGUCUAAUUUAAAAAACUCUAAAAAUGACAUAUAAAACAAAAACAACAAAAUUGUCCAAAGCUUUCAGGGUGUAAGCGGUUUUCGGCUGCAUGGAUGAUGAUCUAGUGGUGACAAUCUGGGAUUUGAGUGCAGUGGUCACCCAAGCAGUGUACCUUGUACCCAGUACGUGGGUUUUCUCUCUCACCUCCUUCCCUUCCUCCUCCUUGUGAGUCUCCAAAGUCCAUUGUUUCAAUCUGUCCGCCUCUGCCCACCCAUAGCUUAGCUCCCACUUAUGGGGGAGAACGUAUGGCAUUUGGUUUUCCAUUGGGUUAUUUCACUGAGAAUAAUGGCCUCCAGCUCCAUCCAGUCUGUUGCGAACGGCCGAUUUCAUCCCUGUUUGAGGCUGAGUGGUGUGCCAGGGUGUACAUACCACGUUUGCUUCACGCACUCGCUGGCGGAUGGGCACUCAGGUCGGUUCCACAUCUUUGCAAUUGUUCCAUGAUAAACAUAGGCGUGCAGAUGGCUUUUUGAUGUGAUGAGUUUAUUUCCUUUGGGUAAAUAUCCAGUAAUGGGAUUUCUGGAUUAAAUGGUAGAUCUCCUUUGAGUCGUUUAAGAGAUCUCCGUGUUGUUUUCCACAGUGCCUGUACUAACUUCCAUUCCCACCAGCAGCAUAUAAGCAUUUAUUUUUUCACCACCUCCACGCCAACAUCUGUUGUUUUCUGAUUUUUCAGUAAUGGCCACUCUCAGGAGUAAAGUGGUAUCUCCUGGUCUUAACGUCCCCCAGUAGGAGCAAUGCUUCCUCCUCCCAUCCCUGCCACGGGCCGGGGCCCAGCACCUUCUUUCCUUCCUUGGUUGCAGUGCAGGGAGCCCUGGACGCUACGUGCUUGGUGAGCUCUUCCUCCCAGCCUGGGCACGAGAGGAGCCGUUUCUCUGGGGGCGGUGCGUCCCCAGCCCAUCCCUGCCCACUCCUCUCCCUCUUCCCAGAAGUGGAUGUGUCUCCUCCUCCUUCCCUUCCUCACCCUCAGGGCAAACCUAGUUUCCCCAGCACUGGGCCUGACACUGUACCUCCUUGUCUUAACUUGGCAUUUUCACAUUGCAGUACUUGAACCCCGAGGAAAAACUUAUGAACCCUGGGGACCAGAUGAAAGACUGCAGAAGCUUUCUGUUAACUACGUCUCAGUCUCCGAUUUAUUUCUCACUCACUCAGUCAUGCCAUGGUAACAUGCAAGAUGGGCGGGAGAGCAGCGAGGAGGCUAUUUCUGCCAUGUAUUCCCAGUCCUAUUUUUUUUUUCAUUUAACACGUUUUGAGUGUUGGUCAAUUACAAGGUUCUGAGCUUAGGACUCCAGAGAACCCCCAAAUGCUUAAGUUCCUGCUCUCAAGGGGUUUGACAUUUAGAGGGGCUAAUAAAACGAACAUUACUCCUAGGCAAGGGAGACCAGGGUAAGUGCCCCAGAACGGGCCUCAUGGAUCCAAGGAGAGACUCAGCAACCCUUUCCUGGAAGGGUUCAACUGGCGGGGCCCAGGAAUUGCACAUUUGAGUGUGUUCUUUCAUUCGUGACCUCCAGCUCCCAAGUUGGCGCCUACUUGUUGCAUCCGAGAAAAUGGGUUGGACACCUGUCUGUCUGGGGACCCUGGAGGAAAGUUCUGGAUCUGAGAGGGAGCCUCGGGCCUUCUCCCUUAAAGCUGAUUUGUCAGGACUAUUUCACUUUACACAGAAAGUGACAUAGAGUUCCUUCCCAGUUUCUAUUUUUCUGGAAAGUGCCACUGGAAACACAGAAACUCUUUUGAUAACGAGAGAUGAACAAGUUAAGAAACAGAGCUCCACAAGUGCAGUUAUGCAGGUGAGAUUGCAUUUCAGUUUCUUCUACAGAGAUGCUGUUUCUCACAUCCUCCCUCUGGCCUCUCUUGAAUUUGACAAAGAAUCUCAGCGAAGCCAGUUACUGGAUGUGGGGCAGGCUGCGAGACGGCCCUUCCCUCGCACAUUCCCCAGCUCCCCAUCCCCGAGGCUGGAGAGGUUUGCCUCCCAGCUCCUCCCCGCCCCUGCCACAUUCAGCCUCCGGAUCACAGAAGCACACACUGUCGUCCCCUCACUGAUUGGCAUGGCCUGAUAGGCACCUCUCACAGUGGGCACUUUGUGCUUCUCCCUCCAGACAAUUGGCAGGAGAGUCAAUAGCCACACAGUCUCCUGGGAUCUGUCCCUUGGUUCCUGCCAGCCACGCUGGCGCCUUUCCACCCAGUGCUGCCAAGGGUUCCUCCUUCCAGGGCAAGGUCAGCACCACCCCUGGGUGGGGAGAGGCGAGAGGAAGGAUUCCAGAGCCAAGGCGUUGACAAAAGGGGUAGAAAGAGAUGGGCCAACGCCCCAAAGUCUGUGACUGGAAAGCAAAGAAGGGAGCUGAAGACCACAGCUGUGUAAUAGGGCCUCGGUUCAUUUCACUGUGAUGAUUUGGUGAAGAACUAUUGACCCGAGGGAGACGAUAUCCUCCUGUGAAAUAGGUAGUAACCAGGUGUGAAGGAGGCCCCUGCGAAGGUGCUGAUGUGUCAGUGUGCCUGCUGCCCUCCUUUUCAGGGUUCCUGGUGCUGAGAUAUUCUGUGCUGCUUCCCAAACUCCUCACCCACCUGCACCUGCCCACAUGCUGCGGAAAGUGCUGGAUGGCAUAGACUCUCACAUUAUGUAAGAACAUGUAUUAUUGGACAUUCUUGCUACCAACAUGCAGCCCACAGCUAAGCUCCAGAUCUUUUUGGAAUGGUUCCCAUGUAAAACUCAAAGUAAAACAAAA